AUUCUUUUAGUAUCAACUAGAACAGCUGACUUCCAAUCAGCUAGUUGCGGUCUAGUCCGGAAAAGAAUA
This 69-nucleotide transfer RNA is filed under the name Bos indicus (zebu cattle). RNAcentral describes it as "tRNA-Gly". It matches the Rfam family "tRNA". From Rfam's summary of the family: Transfer RNA (tRNA) molecules are approximately 80 nucleotides in length. Their secondary structure includes four short double-helical elements and three loops (D, anti-codon, and T loops). Lineage: Eukaryota; Metazoa; Chordata; Mammalia; Artiodactyla; Bovidae. The record is from RNAcentral.